AGUGGAGGCAACUGUUUUUUGUGUGUGAAUAUUCUUGUUUUGUUUUGUUUUGUUUUGUUUUGUUUUGUUUUGUUUUGAGACAGAGUCACUGUGUCACCCAGGCUGGAGUGCAGUGGUGCAAUCUCGGCUCACUGCAAACUCUGCCUCCUGGUUUCAAGGGAUUCUCCUGCCUCAGCCUCCGAGUAGCUGGGAUUACAGGCGCCUGCCACCAUAUCUGGCUAAUUUUUGUGUUUUUAGUAGAGAUGGGGUUUCACCAUCUUGGCCAGGCUGGUCUCGAACUCCUGACCUCUGGUGAUUUGCCCGCCUCAGCCUCCCAAAGUGCCAGGAUUACAGGUGUGAGCCACCAUGCCUGGCCUGGAGGCAACUCUUGAGGUUGGGAUGUCUGCAGUUCAGACUGAAGGCUCCUAAUCCUGCUUGGAACUCCCAGCAACCUGCCUCACGUUCAUCCCAUAGGAAAACCUACAGGAUAAGCCAGCAGCUGCUCCACGUGCUGACUGCACACCUUCCUGCUCUUCCCCGACUCCUCUCGUCUCCCGAUGACAAGAUCAGCCACCGCCUGCUCUAGAUGACCCUUCUGAUUCAGUCCUGCUGUUUGCAGCCUCCCCACUUUAGCGGCUUCAGCACUUCUCUAACCAUGUUUCAGGGGCUUUUGAGAGGACAUGAUUGAACCUUUAGCCACCCAUUACCAGGCCAUAAGGAGCCCCAACUGGACCCGACUGAGAUGCAGCACAUCACCCAUCGCCCUGGAGUGGGAGCUGGAAGUGGAAGCCGGUUGAGACCUCAGGUUAGAUCCCUCUUGGGAAGGGGUUAGUUCGUUUCACGAAUGUACAAGAAUUUUUAUUUCUUGAAGCAGAGUUUCUGUCACCAGGCUAGAGUGCAGCGGCGUCAUCACAGCUCACUGCGGCCUGGACCUCCCAAGCUCAAGCGAUUCUCCACCUCAGCCUCCUGAGAAGCUGGGACUACAGGAGCACACCACCAUGCCUAGCUAAUUUUGUAGUUUUUAUAGAGAUGGGGUCUCGCUGUGCUGCCCAGGCUGAUCUCAGACUCCUGGCAUCAAGUGAUCCUUCCGCCUUCACUUCCCAAAGUGCUGGGAUUACAGGCAUCAGCCACUGCACCGCGACCCGCAUGUUUGCAUAAUUUGAUCUCACUCCUGACUCCAGCCAAGUACUGGGGCAAUGAUGAGUGAGUGUGUUACCCAAGACAGACCCAUCAGAAUCUAGCCCUGGAAACUUGAAACUGAG
This 1241-nucleotide long non-coding RNA is filed under the name Homo sapiens (human). Its description in RNAcentral is "HSALNT0227623". The record is from RNAcentral. Lineage: Eukaryota; Metazoa; Chordata; Mammalia; Primates; Hominidae.